Molecule: ribosomal RNA, 253 nt
Filed under: uncultured bacterium
Lineage: Bacteria
Description: partial 16S ribosomal RNA
Rfam family: Bacterial small subunit ribosomal RNA
Source: RNAcentral
UACGUAGGGUGCGAGCGUUAAUCGGAAUUACUGGGCGUAAAGGGUGCGCAGGCGGCCCCGCAUGUCGAGUGUGAAAGCCCCGGGCUUAACCCGGGAAUUGCGCUCGAAACUAUGGGGCUGGAGUGUGGCAGAGGGAGGUGGAAUUCCACGUGUAGCGGUGAAAUGCGUAGAGAUGUGGAGGAACACCGAUGGUGAAGGCAGCCUCCUGGGCCAACACUGACGAUCAUGCACGAAAGAGUGGGGAGCAAACAGG